CAUGCCGCGUGUGUGAAGAAGGUCUUCGGAUUGUAAAGCACUUUAAGUUGGGAGGAAGGGCAGUAAGCGAAUACCUUGCUGUUUUGACGUUACCAACAGAAUAAGCACCGGCUAACUCUGUGCCAGCAGCCGCGGUAAU
This 139-nucleotide ribosomal RNA is filed under the name uncultured Pseudomonas sp. RNAcentral describes it as "partial 16S ribosomal RNA". It matches the Rfam family "Bacterial small subunit ribosomal RNA", at positions 393 to 524 of the family's 1533-position model. The record is from RNAcentral. Lineage: Bacteria; Pseudomonadati; Pseudomonadota; Gammaproteobacteria; Pseudomonadales; Pseudomonadaceae.